Non-coding RNA from Camellia sinensis, 1266 nucleotides. NCBI's taxonomy places the organism in Eukaryota, Viridiplantae, Streptophyta, Magnoliopsida, Ericales, Theaceae. The record is from RefSeq and is a predicted model, not a curated record.
UCUUACAAUUUCUAUAUUCCUGUCUCAGUAAUGUUGUUUUUUCACUUAAUUCUUUGAUUAAUAUUUUUAUUUUUAAUAGUAAAUUGUAACAUUAUUUUGUAAGCCAGCAACUUUAGUCAGUUUAUGAAGUAAAUCUUGUUUUGCUUCAAUGUUUAAUGAAUAAUUUUGCGAUACCUAUUUUCCUCUUCAUUGUGAUCUUUUCUCCUUGACACGUAAGCAUAAUUUUUGGAUCACAAGAUACUCUCAUCACAAAGGCUUUCUAAGAAUUCUUUAACACUCCGUUUGGAUCAUGAGGUAGGAAAAGAAAAGAGAUAGCUGUAGUUUCUCACCUAGGUGAGAGAAUAAAAGAAAUGAUUGGUUUUUGACCUUUUUAUUUAGAUGAACGUUGAUUAAAAGAGGAUAAAAGUGACCUUAUAUUUUAUUUGUUUUGUAUUUAGAGGGAUAAUUUAGGCAUUAUAAUUUUUUUGUAAAGAGUAAUUUUAAUUUCUCACCAAAUCUCAUUACUUUUGGUGAGAAACAAAAUUUAAAAUUUUGUGUGAUUUGUGUUUUUUAUUAUUUCUCUUCCUUAUAAUUUCUCAUCUCAUUAAUCAUUUAAAUAAGUAAUGGGAAACCUAAUUCUCUCUGUUUUCUUUCUUUUCUCGCCAAACCUCUCCAUCCAAACAUCGCAUUUAGAUUUGCUCGGGUUAUAGUUUGAUUCAGAGUAAUUAAUGUCAGUUUCAGUGGGCAGAUAUUCAUUGUGAAACAGAGUUGAGGUUUCAUCAAUUGUGAAGACUAUGGAUAGAGUUUACAAUUUUGUUAGUACUUCAGAUAAUCAUUGUUUGGCUACAGUUGGCUUCAAGAGGAUGCUUAAUCAGUGUGGCAAAUUUGGGCAAAGGGUUUAUCAAAAGCAGCCGAUUUGUCCAUGCAAAAGUUAAAUAUUUUACUCCAACCUAUAUUAUGCCUUUUUAAAAUUCAUUAUAUUUUGAAGAAUUCCUCCCUAAAUCCAUCACAAUGUACUUAAAAUUUCACACGAGAGGGAGGGAAUACUUGAAAUUUCUUGCAGAAAAAUAGUAUAUUCAAACCUUUACAUCUGCCACAAGAUUUCUUUCAUGAUUUCUUUGAGAUAUUUAUAUUUUUUUGGGGAUCAAGGGCUAGAGGGUGUUUGAACGCCAAAAGAAUUCUCUUUGUUGAUGAAAACAUAAGUUUCUUCGCAGUUUGGGUUUUAAUAAUGGCCUCAAAUCGGGGUAAACAUAUUGAUGUACAAGAAUGAAAGUACAAUAUUUUACA